CCGCUGAUGUGCUGUCUCUCUUCUUCGGUUUUCUUCAGGGGGAACCGGCAGCCCGACCGCAAGUGCCAGAGGAGGGACCCCAGGAGGUUCCGAGGGCUUGACAGCAGCACCCGGCAGUGAGAGCACACGUGGAGACUCCGGCGCCCCAGGCACGACCUCGGCAGGCAGAGCAGGAACCACUCUAGGUCCUCGGAGUGAACCUUCUGGGACAGGUGUUGGCGGGAGUCCGGUUGCCACGACCCUGGAAGCUGGCAGCGUGGGCAGGACCGCAGGGGGCCCCGGCUUCACCAGUCCUGGGCGCGUAGC
Molecule: long non-coding RNA, 306 nt
Filed under: Canis lupus dingo (dingo)
Lineage: Eukaryota; Metazoa; Chordata; Mammalia; Carnivora; Canidae
Description: lncRNA (ENSCAFG00020020197.1)
Source: RNAcentral